This 58-nucleotide transfer RNA is filed under the name Salmo salar (Atlantic salmon). It matches the Rfam family "tRNA", at positions 8 to 63 of the family's 71-position model. Rfam says of the family: Transfer RNA (tRNA) molecules are approximately 80 nucleotides in length. Their secondary structure includes four short double-helical elements and three loops (D, anti-codon, and T loops). Further hydrogen bonds mediate the characteristic L-shaped molecular structure. tRNAs have two regions of fundamental functional importance: the anti-codon, which is responsible for specific mRNA codon recognition, and the 3' end, to which the tRNAs corresponding amino acid is attached (by aminoacyl-tRNA synthetases). tRNAs cope with the degeneracy of the genetic code in two manners: having more than one tRNA (with a specific anti-codon) for a particular amino acid; and 'wobble' base-pairing, i.e. permitting non-standard base-pairing at the 3rd anti-codon position. Lineage: Eukaryota; Metazoa; Chordata; Actinopteri; Salmoniformes; Salmonidae. The record is from Rfam by way of RNAcentral.
UAGCUCAGUUGGUAGAGCAUGGUGUUUGCAACGCCAGGGUUGUGGGUUCGAUUCUGAC